CAGAGGGUAGUCUAGUUUAGGAUCUUAGCUUUGGGAGUUAAGGGCGGGAGUUAGAAUCUCCCCCCUCUGA
Molecule: transfer RNA, 70 nt
Filed under: Tactostoma macropus (longfin dragonfish)
Lineage: Eukaryota; Metazoa; Chordata; Actinopteri; Stomiiformes; Stomiidae
Description: tRNA-Pro
Rfam family: tRNA
About the family: Transfer RNA (tRNA) molecules are approximately 80 nucleotides in length. Their secondary structure includes four short double-helical elements and three loops (D, anti-codon, and T loops). Further hydrogen bonds mediate the characteristic L-shaped molecular structure. tRNAs have two regions of fundamental functional importance: the anti-codon, which is responsible for specific mRNA codon recognition, and the 3' end, to which the tRNAs corresponding amino acid is attached (by aminoacyl-tRNA synthetases). tRNAs cope with the degeneracy of the genetic code in two manners: having more than one tRNA (with a specific anti-codon) for a particular amino acid; and 'wobble' base-pairing, i.e. permitting non-standard base-pairing at the 3rd anti-codon position.
Source: RNAcentral